AGGACUAUAAAAUCAAGGGCAGCUUGGGCUUCACAGAGACGGAGAUGUUUGGGCCUCAGACACUUAGUACGGGCUGUUUUGUUGGUGGUAAUGGCACUACUUGUUUGGCACUCUUAUGAAAACAUGUCACACACAUUGCAAAGCUUGUGCACCAGAGAGAGCUCUGUAGCUUACUCUUGCCCAAGGCAUCCUUUCUGGGGUUCCACUUACCCAGCUAUGGCAUCAAUGCCUUGGUCUGACCCAUGGAGGGUUAUGAGGACUGGCUAGACUCCAGAGAAGAACGGAAUUUCUCUGUAAACACUGAUGCAUAAGCAUAUCAAGAACUUAACCUGACUCUGGAGAGAAACACAAGACAAAGGUGAGUAGUAAUGUUAAACUGAGCAAAAAUCCUGCGAUUUACAUUUACA
Meriones unguiculatus (Mongolian gerbil) is the source of this 407-nucleotide long non-coding RNA. RefSeq lists it as uncharacterized. The transcript is spliced from 3 exons. The record is from RefSeq and is a predicted model, not a curated record. Lineage: Eukaryota; Metazoa; Chordata; Mammalia; Rodentia; Muridae.